This 207-nucleotide ribosomal RNA is filed under the name uncultured bacterium. RNAcentral describes it as "partial 16S ribosomal RNA". It matches the Rfam family "Bacterial small subunit ribosomal RNA", at positions 568 to 774 of the family's 1533-position model. The record is from RNAcentral.
UCCGUAGGCGGGCAAUUAAGUCAGGGGUGAAAGUCUGCGGCUCAACCGUGGGACUGCCCUUGAUACUGGUUGCCUUGAAUCGUUGUGAAGUGGCUAGAAUGAGCAGUGUAGCGGUGAAAUGCAUAGAUAUUGCUCAGAAUACCGAUUGCGAAGGCAGGUCACUAACAACGUAUUGACGCUGAGGGACGAAAGCGUGGGGAGCGAACA